CCUACGGGUGGCAGCAGUGAGGAAUAUUGGUCAAUGGACGAGAGUCUGAACCAGCCAAGUAGCGUGAAGGAUGACUGCCCUUUGGGUUGUAAACUUCUUUUAUAAAGGAAUAAAACGAGGCACGUGUGCCUCUUUGCAUGUACUUUAUGAAUAAUGAUCGGCCAACGCCGUUCCUGCAGCCGUGUUAAUACUGGGGAUCCGAGCGUUGUCCGGAUUUAUUGGGUUUAAGGGGAGCGUAGAUGGGUUGUUAAGUCAGGUGUGAAAGUUUGCGGCUCACCCGUAACAUGGCAAUUGAUACUGGCAGUCUUGAGUAAAGUAGAGGUAGGCGGAAUUCGUGGUGUAGCAGUGAAAUGCGUAGAUAUCGAGAAGAACCCUGAUGGCGAAGGCAGCUUACUAAACUGUGACUGACAUUGAUGCUCGAAAGUGUGGGUAUCAAACAGGAUUAGAUACCCGAGUAGUC
This 460-nucleotide ribosomal RNA is filed under the name uncultured bacterium. RNAcentral's name for it is "partial 16S ribosomal RNA". It matches the Rfam family "Bacterial small subunit ribosomal RNA", at positions 338 to 795 of the family's 1533-position model. The record is from RNAcentral.